AUACAGAGGGUGCAAGCGUUGCUCGGAUUUACUGGGCGUAAAGCGUACGCAGACGGUGAGGAAGGUCGGAUGUGAAAGCCCUGGGCUCAACCCAGGAACUGCAUCCGAAACCGCCUCGCUCGAGUAUGAGAGAGGAAAGCGGAAUUCCUGGUGUAGAGGUGAAAUUCGUAGAUAUCAGGAGGAACACCUGCGGCGAAGGCGGCUUUCUGGCUCAUUACUGACGUUCAGGUACGAAAGCGUGGGUAGCAAACAGGAUUAGAUACCCUGGUAGUCCACGCUGUAAACGAUGUGUGCUGGAUGUCGGGGGUAUUCACCCCCUCGGUAUCGAAGUUAACGCGAUAAGCACACCGCCUGGGGAGUACGGCCGCAAGGUUGAA
RNAcentral lists this ribosomal RNA (377 nucleotides) under uncultured Pseudobdellovibrionaceae bacterium. Its description in RNAcentral is "bacterial SSU rRNA". It matches the Rfam family "Bacterial small subunit ribosomal RNA", at positions 523 to 898 of the family's 1533-position model. Lineage: Bacteria; Pseudomonadati; Bdellovibrionota; Bdellovibrionia; Bdellovibrionales; Pseudobdellovibrionaceae. The record is from RNAcentral.